Long non-coding RNA from Telopea speciosissima, 148 nucleotides. RefSeq lists it as uncharacterized. The transcript is spliced from 3 exons. NCBI's taxonomy places the organism in Eukaryota, Viridiplantae, Streptophyta, Magnoliopsida, Proteales, Proteaceae. The record is from RefSeq and is a predicted model, not a curated record.
GGUUUUGGAAACAAAUGUGUGACUAUGCUAGCCCACCUUUAUGGAAAUCUUACAAUCUCCCACUUGAGCUGCAUAUGUCACAAGUUUUGAUUUUAAAAAUCUUUUUAAAAUGACUCUCCGGUUUAGAAAAACUGAUUGUGGCCACAAA